Molecule: long non-coding RNA, 2665 nt
Organism: Peromyscus californicus insignis
Lineage: Eukaryota; Metazoa; Chordata; Mammalia; Rodentia; Cricetidae
Exons: 3
Source: RefSeq, a predicted model, not a curated record
UGAACUUCCCCUGGCACCCAGCACCGUUCUCAACCUCUCCUCACUGCGCUUAUCCUUCAGGUGAAACGAAAAACCAUUCCCUGCCAUCAAGUUAUUCUGCCUACUGCCUAAGUCAGGGGGUCUCCCCACCUCUGCCCCCAGGUCAGCUGUGGCCAGCCAAGUGCUCUUCAAAGUCAUACCUGGGGUGGACACCGUGGUUUCCAGCCCUGCCCUCAGUGCCUAGAACUGAGGAGUAAAUGAACCAACUUUGCCCUUUGACCUCAGGAAAGCCAUCCAACAUUGUGGCUACCAAGAGAGCCAAGUCCUGCCUAAUACAGCCAAGCUCUGCUUAACGAUGGGGAAAAUGAGAAGAACAUUAUCAGGAGAUCUUGUCAUGAGACCAUCAGAGAUUGCACACUAAGACAGUGCCGUGUGGUCUGGUCUCAACCCAAGGCCCAAAGAUCCUUCACCCGCAGAGGUGACCCUCAGCACACCACUCCGAGAGGUUUGGAUCGCCUUUCCUGUGAAUUUCCGAUGUCAACUUCCAAGUCGUGAUUUAAAUCUUGGCUUCUGGCCGUCUUCAAUUCAGAUAUUAGCAAACUCAAGCUGGAAUGCUGCAGUAGGAACCUGAAACCGGGCCAAUGGACUCAGAGAGCCAGUUCGAUGAAGUUUUCCCUAACAAAGUUACUGAGUCCUUUCUCACAGAUUUUAAGUACGCAGGAAUGGCUCUUCCAAACAGUCCAGGUGAAUUGCUGAGGCAAAGAAAUGGGCUAGAUCAGGUGUAGGUGGGGCCUGCAGGCAGCUGCCGGAAGCGUGGGAAGUGGAAAGAGGUCCAUAGCCUCCCUGUGCAGUGAACGGUUCUUUUCUUCACAGUCUCAAUUUCCUGCCCUUGCCACGCCUUGGCCAUCAGAAGGACACCAUGGUGGCCACACCCAGUCCAUCAGACAGCUCAGGGGGCAGUGGAGACUGAGUCAAAGCCUGCAGCUAAACAGCCAGUGGGGACUUGGCACACGUGGGCAUGGCCGCCUGUGCCUGGCUAACUGUUUGAGGCCUGUCUUGCCUUCAUGUUACAUAAUGUGGUUUUUCGUUUGUUUGUUUUUAAUCAGAAAGCUAUAAUAGGCUUUUGGGAGACCGGAGAUCAGCUGCUAAAUCAGCCUUCCUAAGCACGUGACAGGCAUCACUCUCCAGAUAAAUCAGGUCACUUGCAGAAGGUUGGAGGUCGGCAGAGACUCCAUUUACUCCACAAAUCAUCCCGCCCUGUCCUCCGAGGACUGCAUUCCCAGCCUUCCCAGGGACAUCUGUGCAAUGAAUUUAUGGACUCAACUUCCAGCUCCAAGGGGUGGCAGCUUCGAUUAAGGAAAGCGAUAACGUUUGCCGUCAAAACAGAGCCUGGUGGAUGGGGUAGAUUCCUGCCUCUCUUCCUGCAGUCCUUCCACAGCUUCUUAAGUACAGAGGUUUGGGACCCAGGCAGCAAGGGAACAAGCCGCCCCUCUGACUGGGUUCAGUGGCUUCUGACCUUCCCACUUGGUUAACCCAACCAAGCAGCAGAUGAGAGAUAGCUAAUGAGAAUUCAAAAGAACGGGUUGCUGCACCCCAUCCGAAGGAGACAGGGCUCAGUUCUAUCACGCCUGUGGGAUCAGUAAGCCACCAGGUGUAUUUUCUCAGCUCUUCUCCGACCCCUACCCACACACUGACCCUCCCAAUACGGGUAGGAUCCACAGGACCAUCGCACGAAGUUUUAGCUGCCCCAAAUGGUGAGAUUGAGUUUUGGACUGUCCUCAGUGGUGCUCUUUAAAAAGCCAGUGUGGCCGGGCGGUGGUGGCGCACGCCUUUAAUCCCAGCACUCGGGAGGCAGAGCCAGGAGGAUCUCUGUGAGUUCAAGGCCAGCCUGGACUACCAAGUGAGUUCCAGGAAAGGCGCAAAGCUACACAGAGAAACCCUGUCUCGAAAAAUCCAAAAAAAAAAGCCAGUGUGGGGGUUGGGAAUGCAAGGCAGUGGUAGAGUCCUUGCCUCUCCUGCCGAGGCUCUGGGUUCCAGCCCAGCACCACAAAACAAAACAACUUAACUCCUGUAAUCUUAACACUCCAGAGGUGGAGGCAGGAGGAUCAGGGAUUCAAGGUCAGCCUCGGCUACAUAAGGAGUGUAAAAUCAACCUGGGCUCCCUGAGAGCCUGCCUCAAACAAAACACCACAACAAGCACCCAGCAUUUCAGACCAUCAGACCGGAGGCUUCCUUGCUUGGAGAGCUCCCUCCAGCCUUCUCUGUUGCUUCCUUAAGGUAAUGGGCUCUGCAGGGAGGGAGAGGUGUGGGUGACAGGCAUCCAGGCCUGCCAGGAUGCCAGCCUCCGACCCUCGCAGCCAGCCCUCCGCACCUACCUACCUGCAUGCCACAGAUGCGCACACCCAGGCAGGCUGAAGUACUCUGCGCACACUUCUUCAUGUGACGGGCCUUCUUCUCCUCAGAUGCAUCGUCCCCGUGCUGCCGGGUCCCCAUCUUUAGAUCCAAGAUGCAGGGCUGCUUGUAUUGUGACACCACAUUUUCCAAGAGCAAGAACCCUGGAGGCACUAAGUCAAGGAAAGCUCUGGGGUCAUCAGUCGGAGUACCUGAGGUUCCUGUUCGCUGCUCCCUCCCCUUUCCAGCCUUACCCAGGAACCUGGCUAUUAAGAAUGCAAGAUAUUCACUGGCA